RNAcentral lists this ribosomal RNA (284 nucleotides) under uncultured bacterium. Its description in RNAcentral is "partial 16S ribosomal RNA". It matches the Rfam family "Bacterial small subunit ribosomal RNA", at positions 773 to 1060 of the family's 1533-position model. The record is from RNAcentral.
GUGGAUUAGAUACCCGAGUAGUCCGCACCGUAAACGAUGAUUACUCGUUGUUGGCGAUAUGACAGUCAGCGACCAAGCGAAAGCGAUAAGUAAUCCACCUGGGGAGUACGCCGGCAACGGUGAAACUCAAAGGAAUUGACGGGGGCCCGCACAAGCGGAGGAGCAUGUGGUUUAAUUCGAUGAUACGCGAGGAACCUUACCUGGGCUUGAAAGUUAGCGACCGGUUCUGAAAGGAAUCUUCCCGCAAGGGCGCGAAACUAGGUGCUGCACGGCUGUCGUCAACU